This 244-nucleotide unclassified non-coding RNA is filed under the name Hevea brasiliensis (rubber tree). The record is from RNAcentral. Lineage: Eukaryota; Viridiplantae; Streptophyta; Magnoliopsida; Malpighiales; Euphorbiaceae.
AACAGAAUCAUACACAAUCAAAAGGUUUUUGGACAUAGUAUUGACUGUAAAGAAUUGCAAAUAUUCUAAAAUAAGUAGUUGAAUCAACUGAACAAUGAUACAUAUAACAAUCCCAACACAUGAAUAAAAGAAUGUCACCUCAUCCUCCCUCAGCUUAUUGCAGUUUAAUUAUUCUAAGUCAAGAAUAGAUGUUAAAACUAACAUAACAUUAAUAUAUAUCACACAACUAUCAGGUUGCAUUUAG